GUUACAGUCAGGUAUGGGACAGGGACAGUGGAGGAGGAUAGUUACAGUCAGGUAUGGGACAGGGACAGGGACAGUGGAGGAGGAUAGUUACAGUCAGGUAUGGGACAGGGACAGUGGAGGAGGAUAGUUACAGUCAGGUAUGGGACAGGGACAGGGACAGUGGAGGAGGAUAGUUACAGUCAGGUAUGGGACAGGGACAGGGACAGUGGAGGAGGAUAGUUACAGCCAGGUAUGGGACAGGGACAGUGGAGGAGGAUAGUUACAGCCAGGUAUGGGACAGGGACAGUGGAGGAGGAUAGUUACAGCCAGGUAUGGGACAGGGACAGUGGAGGAGGAUAGUUACAGUCAGGUAUGGGACAGGGACAGGGACAGUGGAGGAGGAUAGUUACAGCCAGGUAUGGGACAGGGACAGUGGAGGAGGAUAGUUACAGUCAGGUAUGGGACAGGGACAGGGACAGUGGAGGAGGAUAGUUACAGUCAGGUAUGGGACAGGGACAGUGGAGGAGGAUAGUUACAGCCAGGUAUGGGACAGGGACAGUGGAGGAGGAUAGUUACAGUCAGGUAUGGGACAGGGACAGUGGAGGAGGAUAGUUACAGCCAGGUAUGGGACAGGGACAGUGGAGGAGGAUAGUUACAGUCAGGUAUGGGACAGGGACAGGGACAGUGGAGGAGGAUAGUUACAGCCAGGUAUGGGACAGGGACAGUGGAGGAGGAUAGUUAC
This is a long non-coding RNA of Oncorhynchus keta (chum salmon), 721 nucleotides long. RefSeq lists it as uncharacterized. NCBI's taxonomy places the organism in Eukaryota, Metazoa, Chordata, Actinopteri, Salmoniformes, Salmonidae. The record is from RefSeq and is a predicted model, not a curated record. The transcript has 3 exons.